GAUGAAGAACGCAGCGAAAUGCGAUACGUAAUGUGAAUUGCAGAAUUCAGUGAAUCAUCGAGUCUUUGAACGCACAUUGCGCCCCCUGGUAUUCCGGGGGGCAUGCCUGUCCGAGCGUCAUUGCUGCCCUCAAGCACGGCUUGUGUGUUGGGCCUCCGUCCUCCUCCCGGGGGACGGGCCCGAAAGGCAGCGGCGGCACCGCGUCCGGUCGUCGAGCGUAUGGGGCUUCGUCACCCGCUCUUGUAGGCCCGGCCGGCGCUUGCCGACACAUCAAUCUUUUUUCCAGGUUGACCUCGGAUCAGGUAGGGAUACCCGCUGAACUUAAGCAUAUCAAUAAGCGGAGGA
This 345-nucleotide unclassified non-coding RNA is filed under the name soil metagenome. RNAcentral describes it as "partial contains 5.8S ribosomal RNA, internal transcribed spacer 2, and large subunit ribosomal RNA". The stretch from base 1 to 120 matches the Rfam family "5.8S ribosomal RNA", at positions 35 to 154 of the family's 154-position model. The record is from RNAcentral.